Molecule: long non-coding RNA, 1373 nt
Organism: Brassica oleracea var. oleracea
Lineage: Eukaryota; Viridiplantae; Streptophyta; Magnoliopsida; Brassicales; Brassicaceae
Exons: 6
Source: RefSeq, a predicted model, not a curated record
AAAAAUUUGCAACCAAAUUAAAUACUUCUCAGAUUCACUGAGAUGGCUCCCAGUCGUAAUCUCUCUAUCUCUCUCUUUGCCAUCGUCUCUGUUUCCUUUUCGUCGUUCAUGUUCGGCUCCCUAAAUACCUCUCUGAUUCGAGCAAGAACCCUAAUUCAUGAUUUGAUUUAUGAUUCAUAUCGAGAUGGUAUUAAACAGAAACCUACUUCAUCACAUCUCUCGUCCUCUAAAGUCGUCCCCUUUUCUUCUUCCUCUCAGGCCCUUCUCUGUCAAAUGGAGAAGAACAAAGCCAAGAACGGUUCAAAGUCUUCUCCUUCCGAGUUCAACUAGAGAAGAGCUGAUUGUUUUGGCGAAACUGGUAAGAACAAGAAGAACCUCGAAAGAAAAACACGCAAAUUCAAUCCCAACACUACUGCUUACGCACAGGUCCUUGGAACGGGAAUGGCUACACAAGAUACUUUGUCAUGUAUUACUCUUCUUUGAUAAAUAAAGAUUCAUCUUAAAUGCUAGAGAGGGCUUGCAACGUUUUUGUUUCUCUAUGCUUGUGUUGUUUUGAGUUUGAAGUUUGGUGUUUAUUAUUGAAAUCAGAUAGAUCAUGUGUUUUGUCUCGUGUCUGCUCAGAGACUGCAGGUGGACAAGAGUAGAGGUGUGCUUCGAUUGUAGUGCAAAGAAUCCAACAUGGGCUUCGGUUACUUACAGCGUAUUUCUCUGCAUCGAUUGCUCAAGCCAUGGCUGAAGAAGCUCCUUUGCCUUCAUUUGUUGCUACUUCUCAGCCAGUAGAAUCAUAUGAGCCUCCUGCAAAAGAGAGUCUUUGGUUAUUAAGCAAAAGAGGCAACUGUUGCUCAGUCUUCUUCACCAAAAGCUUCUCAGGGAGCUGUGGCUAGUUAAUUCUAUAUGGAAACAGCGACGCUGAGCCUGUAGCUGAAGCUUGUGCCCAGCUGACUCAAGAGUUCUUUAAGGGUGAUACUCUCUGCUGCUUGAUCACUUCACUUCAGUAUUUGAACUUAAAGGCAAGGAAAGAUGCUACAUUCAACAGCUGAGAGAGGGUGUGCAAAUCAUGGAGAUUCAAAUUCAGAUAUAUCAGCUGGUGGUUUAGAGGAAACUGUUGUAUGACUAUGAGAGAAGUUGAAGCUUUUCAGAAGGUUCACAGUGAAGUUGAUGAGCUUUAUAGCCAGCAAAGAGAGUGUGUUCUAGCGUUGAGUUUUAUAUUUACUGUUUUUGUGAGUAUGACAAAGAGGAUACAAAUUUAUUCUUCCAAAAAAAGAGGAUACAAGUCUGAGAUUAAUUAUUGAUCUUUAGAUCAAAUGUUAAUCUAGGGUUUUAAAUGAAAAUUGGAGUUUGUAAUUUAUUGCAUGUUUAAGGUAAAAGUAAAG